GGGCAACAGAGCUAUGAAAAGGGUAGAGGCGUCUCAGAGGUAGACUAGAGGCAGAGGGGCCACAGAGCUAGGAAAAGGGUAGAGGCGUCUCAGAGGUAGACUAGAGGCAGAGGGGCCACAGAGCUAGGAAAAGGGUAGAGGCGUCUCAGAGGUAGAAUAGGGGCAGAGGGGCCACAGAGCUAGGAAAAGGGUAGAGGCGUCUCAGGGGUAGGAACAGGGUAGGGGGCCACAGAGCUAGGAAAAGGAUAGAGGGGUCUCAGAGGUAGAAUAGGGGCAGAGGGGCCACAGAGCUAUGAAAAGGGUAGAGGCGUCUCAGAGGUGGAAAAGGGGCAGAGGGGCCACAGAGCUAGGAAAAGGGUAGAGGGGUCUCAGAGGUGGAAAAGGGGCAGAGGGGCCACAGAGCUAGGAAAAGGGUAGAGGGGUCUCAGAGGUGGAAAAGGGGCAGAGGGGCCACAGAGCUAGGAAAAGGGUAGAGGCGUCUCAGAGGUAGACUAGAGGCAGAGGGGCCACAGAGCUAGGAAAAGGGUAGAGGCGUCUCAGAGGUAGACUAGAGGCAGAGGGGCCACAGAGCUAGGAAAAGGGUAGAGGGGUCUCAGAUGUGGAAAAGGGGCAGAGGGGCCACAGAGCUAGGAAAAGGGUAGAGGGGUCUCAGAGGUAGAAUAGGGGCAGAGGGGCCACAGAGCUAGGAAAAGGGUAGAGGCGUCUCAGAGGUGGAAAAGGGGCAGAGGGGCCACAGAGCUAGGAAAAGGGUAGAGGCGUCUCAGAGGUAGACUAGAGGCAGAGGGGCCACAGAGCUAGGAAAAGGG
Molecule: non-coding RNA, 806 nt
Organism: Podarcis lilfordi (Lilford's wall lizard)
Lineage: Eukaryota; Metazoa; Chordata; Lepidosauria; Squamata; Lacertidae
Source: the annotation of a GenBank genome assembly